Callithrix jacchus (white-tufted-ear marmoset) is the source of this 7423-nucleotide non-coding RNA. The record is from RefSeq and is a predicted model, not a curated record. NCBI's taxonomy places the organism in Eukaryota, Metazoa, Chordata, Mammalia, Primates, Cebidae.
AUGGGUUUUCAUAAAGGCCAAGAGCAGAGCUUCUAUUCUGAGAGCGCGGGAACAACGCUGGUGGACACGGGGACCGGAGCCUCGACGGCUGAGUAGGGCUGCAUGCCUCCUGCCAAGCCCGCCCCCUCGACCAGCAACCAGGGGCUGCCCCGCGCCUUCCUGCAGAGCCAGCGCACCCUAUUCUACAUCCUGGACGACCGGCGGCGCGGCUGCUGCACUUGCGCGAGAUCGAGUCCCGCUGGCAGGGUGCCGACGCGCGAGCUGCCCCGCCGGGUGCUCCAGGGUCUGUGCCAGGUGGCCCUGGCCAGCAGCGAAUUGAUCUUCCAGCGCUUCGUGGCCGGCCUGUGCACCUCGCUGCUGAGGCUGACGACGGCCCCGGGCCCCAAGCGCGCCACGGCCCCCCAGGAGACCAGUCGCCGCUGCAGCUCCUGGUGUCGGUGCCCCCCUACUAGCCGCGACCUGUACUGGAGAGGAAGCCGCUGCCCCUGGGCGUGCUCGUUCUCCGGCCGGUCCCAGCAGCACGGGCCCUCAGCCCAGAGCAGCUGUGCCCCCGGUCCAGGAGGCGCCCUGCCCCGCGGAGACCUAGUAGCCCCACAGCGAGGCGCGGGAACGGAGCCCGAGUGCGGACGCAGGUACAGAGGCCUGCAGGCCCUGGAGGCUGACUCAGGGGAUGCCCGGCGGCCCCAUGCCCGAGGGGAACGUCGGAGGCUCACCAUCACCGGCGGCGUGGGCUGCGGCCUGCCGAUGCAGGUGAAGGAGCUGGAGCAGGAGGAGGUGCUGCUGCAGGGUUUGGAGAUGAUGGCGCGGGGCGGCGACUGGUACUAGCAGCAGCAGCAGCAGGAGUGCCGGAGCGCCAGCGCCGCCUGGGCCAAGCAGAGCCCGCGCCGACUUUGGGGCCGCGGGGAGCCCCCGCCCACUGCGGCGGGCCCGGGGCCUGGGGGAGCUGCUGGCUGUGGCCUGUGCCAGCCGGGCCCUGCCCAUUCCUCCUCCGGGCCCCCUUGCCCUGCCCUGACGUCCACCUCGCCCCGGGCUGGCAGCAGCAGACCAUCCUCAUGCCGAAGGAGCAGAACCGACUCCUCACCCAAGAGGUGGCCGAGAAGAGUGAGCGCAUCACGCUGCUGGAGCAGGAGGAGUCACGCUCAUUAAGCAGCUGUUAAGGCCCGUGCCCUGAGCCAGCAGGACGGGGACCUCUGGACUCCACCUUCAUCUAGCCGGUGUGAAGCCCAGCGAGACCCCAGGGCCGGCCUGGCACUCAGCCCUUCGAGAGCAGGCGCCCCGUCGCACUCAUCCUCUCUGUCUGGAGACCCCCGUCAGGCCCAGGCACAGUCCCUGAGUGGGCGCCUUCCUGCCCCCCUUGCCAUCCGGCUCCCCAGGCCUGCCCCAGGCUGACCUAGCGCUGAGCCCUGGACUCGGUUUUGGCCCCUGGUGCUGACAUGGGCUGGGGCUCACUUGAGUCAGCAUGGCCUGCAGCUGCUGCUGCCGCUGUCAGUGGACACGGGGGAAUCCCUCUACGAGUUAGCAGAUCUCUGGCUUCCCCAGCGGUUUCCAGCGGCUUCCAGCGGUGCCGCCCUGGGUCGCUUCUCCAGGGAAAGGCGCUGCUCACGCCAGGCUGCACCUGCGACAAUGGCCAGCAGAGGGCGCCGCGCGGCUGCGAUGCGGGUCCAAGGCCAGUUUUCCCGCUUCCCAGGACACCAGGACAGGGUGGCUGUCGCUUGGAUGGGAGCAGAUGGAGGGGGUGGGGAUGGCCUCUAAGCAGGGUAUGCUAGCCUGGCCGGGAUGGCGGUCGGAUUUCCGGUCCCGGCCAAGGCUUAGGGAGUCUCGCUGCAGCAGAUCGGGGAGCUUGGCCUGCAUGUGCCUCCCGCAGAACCCCCCACCCUGUCCUGGCCUUCCUCAUCCUGGCCAGGACGCUGCCCCACGUUGAGUCCCACACAAUAACCUGUGAGCCUGUCUCCCCAGGAGGGCCUGUCCCCAGGAAGGGGGUCACUCUGCGCCCCGAGACAGCUCCCAGGCACGUCUUAGGCAGAGCCUGUUGCCCCCCCUCCCCCACACCAUUCAGGAUUCCUAAGGUCUGGGGUCCUGCUCACCCCUCUUUUUUCCCCACGCCCAGCCUGACCCCAGGUUUCAGGAGAAGCCACUUCCCUGAGCCAAGGACAAUGAGAACCCCCAGGGUAGAGGAGGAGGCUGGGGCAGGUCCCCCUGGGUGUCACUCCCUCUCUCCCACCCAGGCCCACUCUUGGUAUGCUGGGGUAGGUACUGGUGGGGGGCCCCUGCCCAGCCUGGCCUGGAGGUACUGAGUGCCACCAGAGCCAACAACACAGAUGGGUUCUGCAGUCCAGGGCCCCUGACGCGGGGUCUGUGUGUGUGGGGUGAAGUGACCCCAUGCAGGGUCAGUGUGUGGGCCCCAGGGACCCCAAUGUGGGGUCAGCGUGUGGGGGCUCAGGGACCCCAAUGUGGGGUCAGUGUGUGGAGGGUGCAGGGACCCCAAUGUGGGGUCAGUGUGUGGAGGGUGCAGGGACCCCAAUGUGGGGUCAGUGUGUGGAGGGUGCAGGGACCCCUCAUGCCCAGGGAACUUUGGAGCACUGUCCCACAAGGCACCCCUGUCUCAGAGGAGGGGUCCUGGUGGGCAGUGGUCAAUUCCUUUCCACAAUCCAGCUCCACACUCACCUGCCCACUGCAACCCCACAGAGCCACGUCCCCACCUGCACCCAGUCUGCAGGGGUGUCCCAGGACAGACUCAAGCCAGUCUGGCAUGCAGCUGCCCUCCUCCUCUGAGGAUAGGAGUGGGCUCUCCAGGGGACAUAAAGACUCCAGGACUGGACCUCCAGGCAGGAAAGGAAGCGGGUCCUGAAGGCCUGUGCCCCACAGCCUCAGUACCAGGUGGUCUGCAGCGUAGUGGGUGGGCCAGUGGCAGCCAAGGAGAACCUCUCCCCCACCCUGUUAGGAGGCUGGGGUCUGCCCACCAGCGCUGCCCCAUGUCUGCCUCUGAGGGUGCCUGCCAUGCCCAGAGCAUGGGGUUUCCUGGCAACUUUACAGGACUGGAAGCAGGAGACAGAACAGUGUCUGUCCCAGGGUGACCUCAUCAGGAGACCGCCCAUGCAGAGCUGGACCCCGCAGCUAAAGCAGAACUGUGAGACAGGCUGGGAUCUCUGGAAAAACUGCCUCUCAGCCUUGGGGUUCCAUGAAAGGUGAAAAAAAAUAGAUCCUCCAAGUUUACAGCUUGAAAUCAGGCUACAGUGUGGCCCUGGAGACCACGAGGGGAGAAGGUAGAGUGGUCCCCGGUGGCAGGGUCUAUCUAGGUGGCUGGCGGAGGCACAGGCAGACCCUGCCUGGAGCCCGCCCUGGUGACGCUGGUGGAUCAGUCUCUUUGCAGGAUGUGAGCAGCAUCCCUGGUCUCAAUCCACGAGGUGUCCACAGCGUGUACAGGGACAUACAUGUGCGUGCACACACAGCUGUGACACCCAGAAAUGUCUCAGGACAUUGAAAUGUGUCCUUGGGGGCUGAAGUGUGCCUGGUUGAGAAUCUGCCCCAGGGGAACACACCCACCAGGCCUCAGGAUUUUGUGUUAAGUUCCAAGGAAAAGGAACAUCUCGACUGGGCAUGGUAGCUCAUGCCUGGAAUCCUGGUACUUGAGGCCAGGAGUUCGAGACCAGCCUGGGCAAUGUAGGGAGAGACCCCCAUCUCUAAAAAAAAGAAAAAGAAAAGAGAAAGAAAAAAGAAAAUGAGUCCUCCAGUUUAAAAAAAACUCAUAAACACCACAAGGAAACAAUACACUCUGAGACCAAGCAGAAACAACAGAUAGACUCUGUAGACACAGAUACUGGAAUUAUCAGAGAGAACAUAAAGUAGCAAUGCUUUAUAUAUAUACAGAAACAGAGAUUUCUGAAAAUAUGAAAAAAAUACAUAGGCUGGUCGCGGUGGCACAUGCCUGUAAUCCCAACACUUUGGGAGGCUAAGGUGGGCGGAUCACGAGGUCAGGAGAUCAAGACCAUCCUGGCUAACACAGUGAAACCCUAUCUCUACUAAAAAUACAAAACAUUAGCCAGGUAUGCUGGCACGUGCCUGUAGUCCCAGCUACUCGGGAGGCUGAGGCAGGAGAAUCACUUGAACCUCGGAGGUGAAGGUUGCAGUGAGCCAACAUUGCAUCACUGCACUCCAGCCUGGGCGGCAGAGAGAGACUCCAUCUCAAAAAAAGUGGGGGGGGGGGGGCUAGAUUUGCAAUAAUAUUAAAAACUGAGAUCUCAGCAUUUAAUAGUGUAAUCUUAAACGUGUAAAGAACACACAGUACUUUUCACAAAAUGUUAUCUUCAGUAUAAAAGAAAUCGAUGGGGCGGUGUGCAGUGGCUCACACCUGUAAUCCCAGCACUUUAGGAGGCCGAGGCAGGCAGAUCACCUGAGGUCAGGAGUUCAAGAAACAUAUGGGCUGGGUAGAGUGCUUCAUGCCUAAUAAUCUCAGCACUUUGGGAAGCUAAGGCAGAAGGAUAGCUUCAGCUCAGGAAUUUCAGAUCAGCCUGGGCAAUAUACCAAGGUCCUAUCUCUACUUAUGGAAAAAAAAAUAGCUGGAUGUGAUGGCACGUGCCUGUGGUCCCAGCUGCUCAGGAGGCUUUAGUGGGAGAAUUGCUUGAGCCUGGGAGGUCAAGGCUGCAGUGAGCCAUGACUGCCACCAGGUUCCAGCCUCAGCAACAGAAACAUGAUCAUUGCACAUCAUCUAAAUCACCCAUGGUUUUUUUUUCCUCAUCUGGAAGCAGGGACACUGUCCCCCAACACACGCACUUCCCGAGGUUGUCAAGAGACCACGUAAAUGUUUGGUAAACUGGGAAGCCCCAGCAGAGAUGCUGGAGCCAGGUUAUUACCGCCCUGCUGUUUGCCAUUAUCUUCCAGGCCUGUGUCUCUCUGCCCAGCUAGCCUGGGUCGCCUGCUCCUGCCCCCAACUGGAUGGGGUGGGAUUACAGCCUUGGCUAGCUACAAACCCCAUAACCUGAGAUAGCAGGGCCCAGGCAUAGAUGGCCUAGGGCAUGGCUUUGCCCAUUUUGAGUGUCUGAGACACCCAGUGGGGCCACCCCAAUGCUGGCCAGGCUUUAUUUGCCAGACAAGUUUGGGGUGACCAUGUUGGGGCCCAAAGGGACCCAGUGACAGUGAGAAGUGGGUCCUGCAGCCUCAGAUGCCCUGGGCCAGGAACGAGGAGUGCUACAAGGUGGGAAACAAGGAAGGAGCCACCCUGUCCUCCCUGUGAGGAGCCCCACACACCCCUCCAGCUGCUCCCCAGCUCUGCCCCUUCUCCCCUCCCCUUGCUCCCCUGUGGACCCAUCUGUCUAUCUGCCACCUCCCCUCCUCCUUCUGCCCUUCUCUCCCUGCUCCUGUUGGUGACAGGCAGGACCCCCCACUCACCACCCACUCAGCCUCCUAGAGGCAGAGCUGGUGCCCCUCAGAUACCCUGUCCCCCGGCGGGGGCUUGUCCUACAGACAGCCCUGGACCACCCCCGCCACACCUCCUCGUCCUAGCACAGAUGCCUGGCAACAAGGGAAGUUCAUCAAUUGGUAAGUUAGCCACGGGCAGGGCAGGGAACAGUCAGGCUGAGGCCUGAACUCAGAGUCCUCAGCGCUGUGAGGAUUUGCAGGCUCCUUCCCUGGUCUCUGUCUCCCCCACAGUCUGCAGAUCAGCUUUGUGCUCUCACAGCAGCUUCCUUCACAGGGUUGGAAUCAGGCUGUUGGCAGCGCGAGGCUUCCAUCUUCCUGGCUUCGGCCCCAAGAAAGGAUGGAGCUCCCCUCCAUUAGUUCCUAUUCAGAAAAUUCCAGAAGCAAGUUUCUGCUUGGUUUGGUUUGGUCUGGGCUGGCUGGGUAGCUGGCACACUAAAAUGGCCAGGCCCUCUAGUGUCACGUGGUUGCAGUAGGAUGGGGAGAUGUAUUUGUCAGCUCAUGGUGCCACGCCAAAGUACCAUAGCCUGGGUGCCUCAGACCACAAACACUUAUUUCUCACAGUUCUGGAGGCUGGGAAAUCCAAGAUCAACGUGCCCACAAGGUUGGUUUCAUUGUGAGGCCUCUUCUCUUGGCCCAUACGUGGCUGCCAUAUUGUGUGCUCAGGUGACCUCUUCUUUGUAUUUGUGCGGAGAGAGAGUUCACUCUCUGGUGUCUUGUCUUAUAAGGACACGAAUCCUACUGAAUCAGGGCCCCAUCCUUAGGACCUCAUUUAACCUUAAUGACUUCCUGAGAGGCCUCAUCUCCAAAUACUGCCACACAGAGGAUUAGGCUUCAACAUAAGACUUUGGAGGAGAAAGAGACAUUCCGUCCAUGAUGGGAAGAAAAACUAUUCAUGAAAAAGCGGUGCAGUGGCCAGAAAAUGGGACAGACAAAACUACAGAUGCCCCCCAUUUCCCCCAAUACAUCACACACACACACACACACACACACACACACACACACACACACACGGCCUGCCUUUGCCCCUUCCCCACAAGGCCACUCCCCACCCCAUGAUUAUUUACCUCCCUCCUACCCUGCUCUCUGGAGCUGCCCCUUCCCCUAGUGCUCCUGUGGCUCACCUAAUGCCAGGUGCAGGUAGAUGCAUGUAAAUGUAGCCCGGGGCUGGGGGCCUCCUGGACCAUGUGUGUCCUGGGCCCCACAUGGGACUGGGCAGGAAGUGGGUCUCACCCAUGUCUACUGUCCUCAGGCAGAGCCUGGCCCUGGGACAUGAGCUCAGUGGGUGCUGCAGCUUUGUUGAAUUCACCUCAGACCCCCACUUCCCCACCAUCCACUUAUAAGGUUCCCAGGGCCUUGAUACCUCUGUCCUUGCAAGAAUAGAAUGCGAUUAUGCAGCUCACACGAACCUGCUGGUGGCUUCCUACAGUAAAACGAUAUAAUUUUCUAGUUAAAGAGAGUCUACCAAGCGACUAGCACAGUGAAUGAAGACAGACCUACAACAAGGCACAACAUUGGGAAACUUCAGAAAAGGACUAAGGAUAGAGAGAAAAUUCUGAAACCUUCCAGAGAGAAAAGACAGGUCAUAUACAAAGAAGCAAGACUCAGCAUGACACCGACUUCUUCCCAACAACACUGGGAGCUAGAAAAUAAUAGAGCAACAUUUCCCAAGUGAGGAGAAGUUACACUUAAAUUAGAGCAUUAUUUCCAGUCAAACUAUUAAUCAGGAGUGGGGAUAAAACAAUGACAUGAUAAAUAUGCGAAGGUCAGAAAGCUUGACUUCCAUUCACUCUUUUCAUCUCUAGUAAACACUAUUCUAAGCAAAUAGAUCUUAAAUGUUCUUACCACAAUAAUAAUAAGUAUGUGAGGUGAUGGAAAUCCUAACUUGAUUUAAUCAUUUCCCAAUGUAUGCAUAUAUCAAAACAUCACACUGAACAUUGUGUAAAUAUACACAAUAUUUACAAAAAUACACAAUAAAAUUGAGUAUUUUUAUUUAUCAAUUAUACUUUAA